UAAACGACCCUCGGCAACGGAUAUCUCGGCUCACGCAUCGAUGAAGAACGUAGCAAAAUGCGAUACUUGGUGUGAAUUGCAGAAUCCCGUGAACCAUCGAGUUUUUGAACGCAAGUUGCGCCCGAAGCCUUUUGGCCGAGGGCACGUCUGCCUGGGCGUCACAC
Molecule: ribosomal RNA, 164 nt
Filed under: Senecio glaucus subsp. coronopifolius
Lineage: Eukaryota; Viridiplantae; Streptophyta; Magnoliopsida; Asterales; Asteraceae
Also listed under: 1 other name
Description: 5.8S ribosomal RNA
Rfam family: 5.8S ribosomal RNA
About the family: 5.8S ribosomal RNA (5.8S rRNA) is a component of the large subunit of the eukaryotic ribosome.
Source: RNAcentral